GCCUUAUGUCAGGAAACAAAUGAAGUUUAGAUUUCCUGAACGUGGAAGAAGUGGGAGAUCUAUCGUAACACUAAAGAAUAUUGAACAUGGAUAUGGAGAUGUGGUUUUGUUCAAAAAGGCAAAUCUUUUGGUGGAGAGAGGCGAAAAGAUUGCAAUUAUUGGUCCAAAUGGGUGUGGAAAGAGUACCUUGCUUAAACUGAUUAUGGGUCUUGAGAAACCUCGGGGAGGUGAAGUUUUG
Molecule: unclassified non-coding RNA, 238 nt
Filed under: Hevea brasiliensis (rubber tree)
Lineage: Eukaryota; Viridiplantae; Streptophyta; Magnoliopsida; Malpighiales; Euphorbiaceae
Source: RNAcentral